This 468-nucleotide ribosomal RNA is filed under the name uncultured bacterium. Its description in RNAcentral is "partial 16S ribosomal RNA". It matches the Rfam family "Bacterial small subunit ribosomal RNA", at positions 28 to 507 of the family's 1533-position model. The record is from RNAcentral.
GACGAACGCUGGCGGCGUGCUUAACACAUGCAAGUCGAACGGAAAGGCCCUGCUUUUGUCGGGUGCUCGAGUGGCGAACGGAUGAGUAACACGUGAGUAACCUGCCCUUGACUUUGGGAUAACUUCAGGAAACUGGGGCUAAUACCCGAUAGGAGCUCCUGCUGCAUGGUGGGGGUUGGAAAGUUUCGGCGGUUGGGGAUGUACUCGCGGCUUAUCAGCUUGUUGGUGGGGUAGUGGCUUACCAAGGCUUUGACCGGUAGCCGGCCUGAGAGGGUGACCGGCCACAUUGGGACUGAGCUGCGGCCCAGACUCCUACGGGAGGCAGCAGUGGGGAAUAUUGCACAAUGGGCGGAAGCCUGAUGCAGCAACGCCGCGUGCGGGAUGACGGCCUUCGGGUUGUAAACCGCUUUCGCCUGUGACGAAGAGUGAGUGACGGUAAUGGGUAAAGAAGCACCGGCUAACUACGUG